This 802-nucleotide ribosomal RNA is filed under the name Teichospora kingiae. Its description in RNAcentral is "eukaryotic LSU rRNA". It matches the Rfam family "Eukaryotic large subunit ribosomal RNA", at positions 86 to 906 of the family's 3401-position model. The record is from RNAcentral. Lineage: Eukaryota; Fungi; Ascomycota; Dothideomycetes; Pleosporales; Teichosporaceae.
ACGGCGAGUGAAGCGGCAACAGCUCAAAUUUGAAAUCUGGCCCCUUCGGGGUCCGAGUUGUAAUUUGUAGAGGGUGCUUUGGUGUUGGCUGUGGUCCAAGUUCCCUGGAACAGGACGUCGCAGAGGGUGAGAACCCCGUACGUGGCCGCCAGCCUUCGCCGUGUAAAGCCCCUUCGAAGAGUCGAGUUGUUUGGGAAUGCAGCUCUAAAUGGGAGGUAAAUUCCUUCUAAAGCUAAAUAUUGGCCAGAGACCGAUAGCGCACAAGUAGAGUGAUCGAAAGAUGAAAAGCACUUUGGAAAGAGAGUGAAAAAGCACGUGAAAUUGUUGAAAGGGAAGCGCUUGGAGCCAGACAUGCCCGCAGUUGCUCAGCCGGGGUUUUCCCCGGUGCACUCUUCUGUGGGCAGGCCAGCAUCAGUCUGGGCGGUCGGAUAAAUGCCUGCUAAACGUACCUCCCCCCGGGGAGGACUUAUAGGGUAGGCGGCAUACGACCAGCUCGGACUGAGGACCGCGCAUCUGCUAGGAUGCUGGCGUAAUGGCUGUAAGCGGCCCGUCUUGAAACACGGACCAAGGAGUCUAAAAUCUAUGCGAGUGUUUGGGUGUCAAGCCCGAGCGCGCAAUGAAAGUGAACGCAGGUGGGAACCCUUCGGGGUGCACCAUCGACCGAUCCUGAUGUUUUCGGAAGGAUUUGAGUAUGAGCAUAGCUUUUGGGACCCGAAAGAUGGUGAACUAUGCCUGAAUAGGGUGAAGCCAGAGGAAACUCUGGUGGAGGCUCGCAGCGGUUCUGACGUGCAAAUCGAUCGUC